UUUGCUGAGCAUCCAUCUCAUCUGAUGACAUGUUUUCCCUUCAGCCAGCACUGCCUUGUUUCCAGCACAGGCUCAUUACUGUACCCAUGCAGUAGCUUUUCACUUCGGCCAGUGUGUGAAGGAAAACAAAGCCCCAGUGCAUUUCCUCUCUCCAGGGGCUGGCAAGCUGGAUCCCUACAGAAGGAUCAUCCCAGAAAGAUGUUGGCUGCACUGAUGUCAUUGAUGUCCACAGGACACUCAUCAAUAUCUGGAUGGAAAAACAUGCAAGGGAUCAACUGCUGGUAGAAGAAUUAACGGGUGAAAAUCAAAGUUUUGCCGUUGGGCAUGAGGCGGUAUCCCGCGGGACAGGCACACUGGAAGCUGCCCAGGCUGUUCCUGCACUCGUGCUGACACGUGUCUCUGCUCUCACACUCAUCGAUGUCUGCGGAGAGAAGCACCAACACCUCAGCGCUCCCUGAGCCUGCCAUGAACGCAGAUUACUGCUGCCAAUGGGAAUCUGACAGAAGCACUCUAAGUAAGCUGGGGCUGCUGGUGGCUUUUGUUGUGUGAGAAGA
Molecule: long non-coding RNA, 554 nt
Organism: Onychostruthus taczanowskii (white-rumped snowfinch)
Lineage: Eukaryota; Metazoa; Chordata; Aves; Passeriformes; Passeridae
Exons: 5
Source: RefSeq, a predicted model, not a curated record